This is a non-coding RNA of Paramuricea clavata, 586 nucleotides long. NCBI's taxonomy places the organism in Eukaryota, Metazoa, Cnidaria, Anthozoa, Malacalcyonacea, Plexauridae. The record is from the annotation of a GenBank genome assembly.
GGCAAUACUGGCAUUAUUGUCAUAGUUAUUGUGUCAUAGAAAAAUUUGUGUCGCAGUCCUAGAAAGAUCCAGAGCAAACGGCACGAAUUUCCAACUUUUGAGAUUUUAAAUAUUAUACUUCGAAUUUGCGAAGUGAUUUUUCAGUUUAACGAAAUAUUAAAUAUAUGCUUUAUAUGUCAGCAUGUCCGACGUACAAAGUAAAGCACAAGUAUUGAACUUAAAACAACUCAACGCCAACGAUUUCAAACGUAUUAUCGCUCUUCAACGCCGAGAAAUUCUGGGCAAAAGUGAACGGCUUAGAGGAGUGGAGGACUUGACAAGAAUAUGCAGUGAAUUGGAAGAAAAACGGCAGAGUUGGCAGACAAAGGCAAACAAUAAUGAAAAUGCUUUAAGACAAGCGGAAGCAACGAUUGCAAAUUUGAAGAAGAAGCUUGGAAUUGGCUCUCAAACGACUUUUGGUAUUGAUGUAGUCAAUCCUGAGAUUUCAAGAAAAGAUUUCAACGCAGUUACCAAAGAGAAUAUCAGGUUAAAAGAAGCGCUGGAACAUAUUGUACCGACCGAAUUGGGCGGCAAAGAUGUGGUCAUU